Molecule: ribosomal RNA, 105 nt
Filed under: Lactarius rubrilacteus
Lineage: Eukaryota; Fungi; Basidiomycota; Agaricomycetes; Russulales; Russulaceae
Description: partial 28S ribosomal RNA
Rfam family: Eukaryotic large subunit ribosomal RNA (bases 49-105)
Source: RNAcentral
UUUGGGCGUGUCUCCCUUCUCGGGAGACUCUCUCGCCCCACGAACCCUUGACCUCAAAUCGGGUGAGACUACCCGCUGAACUUAAGCAUAUCAAUAAGCGGAGGA